Long non-coding RNA from Daphnia pulex (common water flea), 598 nucleotides. RefSeq lists it as uncharacterized. Lineage: Eukaryota; Metazoa; Arthropoda; Branchiopoda; Diplostraca; Daphniidae. The record is from RefSeq and is a predicted model, not a curated record. The transcript is spliced from 4 exons.
GUCACACACAGACAUGGAAGACAGUAGUCGCUCUUUUCAGAGCCUGAUUGAAGUGAUUGACGAAUUUGGCACCAUGCUGUUGGCUGAGACACGAAUUUUGAUGCUGAAAGACUUGGAAACCAUACUGUCGACCACGUCGAGAAGCUGAGUAACAUUCUGCUUUUACAAAGGCACCUCUUAAUAAAAGGAACUUAAGCCAUCCAAUAUAGGACUUUCAUCAAAUCGUGCAGGCUGCAUGGAAGUCACAUUUACCUUUGCUGCGAACAUCAUGAACACAUACACUAUUUGAAGGUUCAUGUUUACGUAGCAGUGGUGUUGCUGUCCAAUGUGGCGUGUUGUUGCAGCCUAUGGUGGUGAAAGACAUCUGCAUCAAGUUGCUGUUCCUUGUGCAUCCGAGGUGCUGGUUUUGUGCUACAGAAGUGACAUCCAAUAUUGUCUUUAAUUGCUAUUUGUGUCUUUGCAGUUUACCUUUAUAUAUUGAGAAGGAACCAAAAAAAAGUAACACGGGGAGGUUUAUGUCAAACAAAUAAUAAACAUGUCCAGGAUGGGGGAAUGAGGAGGAAGUUGGGGUGGGGUAUUUGGUUAUGAAUUACUAAAA